This 1335-nucleotide long non-coding RNA is filed under the name Homo sapiens (human). RNAcentral's name for it is "HSALNT0125515". The record is from RNAcentral. Lineage: Eukaryota; Metazoa; Chordata; Mammalia; Primates; Hominidae.
CUUAAUUAUAGAGAAGACCAGACAACUUAGUGCCCUGAAGAAGAAGAAGGAUAAUGGUUUGCAAUCAAUGCUCAUGGACAAGACACCUAAUCUGAACUUAACCAAAAAGUCAAUAUUUAACUGUACCUUAUCAGUGUGGAAAUGUCAAGCAUAGCAAGAGACAACGAACAAAUUUCCAAGUGAUUUCUCUUUUUUUUAUGUUUUGGUGUUCACAGCUAUGUGGAAGUGUUUCAACAUCAGAUAAGACAAAAUGGCCUUUGGGAGAAAAAAAAAGACAGCAAAUUACAAUACUUGCACUUGCCGAAACCACAGUUUAUGAGAGGAAAGCAGACACUGGAUAUGCAUUCUAUUCUCUCCUAGCACAUUCCCUGGUUCACCUUCCUGCCUGUGUGAUGCUAGCCCUUGAUUGUUUCCCACAGCUGGCAGCCUUUAAGAGACAGAUAUGUUGAAAUGUCUCCUUGCUGAGUAAAGUCACUAUCUGUUGCCACCCAACACAAUUGACACAAAUUAUUUGCACUCUAAAUUUCCAUGCCUAGGAGUAGAUACAUAAAGCAUGACUAGGAGGACUGUGGGUCUGCAAAACAGGAGCUCCACCUGAAUUUCCUGGAAGUUAUGGCCAGUUAAUGUAGAGAAAGAGGUUUUCAAAAUUGUAAGAACUUCAGGACCUUUGUCAGAAUUCCAUCUCGCUCCACAGGACUCCAGCUAACCUCACCCACAUAACUGGUGUUGAAAGUUUUAUUUUGUUAGAAAAUAAUGUUACACUGGAAAAACCUAUGCUGGUACUCACAUUUAAUGGGAUGUUGGACUGUCAGCAUUACAAUACAAGAAAGAAAGGUGAUGACUUAAAUGGAUAAAUAUGCAUUGUUGCUAACUGACUUUUUAAGGAAUUGUGGGUGGGCUUGACAUAACAGGGAACAUGAACAUGGAGAUCUGAAAAAUACUGAUAGAGAAAACAUCAUUUCAUCUGGGACUACAACUAGAAAGGACCUUUUUGAACUAGAUUCACAGAACAGUGAUUCAUGGAGUUCACCAAGGGUAGUGACCAACCAUUUCAAACUAUGUAUAUAGUAAAAAUAAUGUAGGUGCUUGUUAAAAAUGCAGAUUCCCAUGGACUUCCCCCUGGAGAUUCUGAUUCAGGGUGUUAAAAUAAUUCAUGCGGAGGCCAUUACACUGGGGUGGCUCCAUUGCUCUGGGUUUCUACUAAACAAACUGAAACCCAACUCAGUGUUAACAGGAAAACAACCAAUCAGAAACUGCCAACUGACCUCUAGUGGGACUUUCUACUGGAAUCAUCCAAAUAAGGCUACUGAUCCACUUUAACCAAUAAAAAAAAUG